Molecule: ribosomal RNA, 1244 nt
Filed under: metagenome
Description: bacterial LSU rRNA
Rfam family: Bacterial large subunit ribosomal RNA
Source: RNAcentral
UGAGUACGAGAUGCUACGGCAUCGAAGCAGUCUAUGUCAUACUUCCAAGAAAAGCUUGCAAUGUCAUAAACAAAUAAUGCCUGUACCAUAACCGACACAGGUGGGUAGGUAGAGUAUACUAAGGGGCGCGAGAUAACUCUCUCUAAGGAACUCGGCAAAAUGACUCCGUAACUUCGGGAGAAGGAGUGCCUUAUUUUUAUAAGGUUGCAAUAACAAGAUCCAAGCAACUGUUUACCAAAAGCACAGGUCUCCGCUAAGUCGUAAGACGAUGUAUGGGGGCUGACGCCUGCCCAGUGCCAGAAGGUUAAAGAAGUUGGUUAGCAUUAGCGAAGCUGAUAACUGAAGCCCUGGUGAACGGCGGCCGUAACUAUAACGGUCCUAAGGUAGCGAAAUUCCUUGUCGGGUAAGUUCCGACCCGCACGAAAGGCGUAAUGAUUUGGAUACUGUCUCGGAGAGGGGCUCGGUGAAAUAGACUUGUCUGUGAAGAUGCGGACUACCUGCACCUGGACAGAAAGACCCUAUGAAGCUUUACUGUAACUCGAGAUUGAAAUUGGACUUUAUCUGCGCAGUAUAGGUGGGAGACGUUGAAAAUAUUCUUGCGGGAAUAUUGGAGUCAUCAGUGAGAUACCACUCUUAUAAUGUUAGAUUUCUAACUUUGUAUCAUUAUCUGGUCAAAGAACAGUUUCAGGCGGGCAGUUUGACUGGGGCGGUCGCCUCCCAAACGGUAACGGAGGCGCACAAAGGUUUCCUCUGAACGUGUAGAAAUCGUAUCUAGAGUGUAAAGGCAUAAGGAAGCUUGACUGUGAGACCUACAAGUCGAGCAGGGACGAAAGUCGGUCUUAGUGAUCUGACGGUGCUGAGUGGAAAGGCCGUCACUCAACGGAUAAAAGUUACUCUAAGGAUAACAGGCUGAUCUCCCCCAAGAGUUCACAUCGACGGGGAGGUUUGGCACCUCGAUGUCGGCUCAUCGCAUCCUGGGGCGGUAGUACGUCCCAAGGGUUGGGCUGUUCGCCCAUGAAAGCGGUACGCGAGCUGGGUUCAGAACGUCGUGAGACAGUUCGGUCCAUAUCCGGUGUAGGCGUUAGAAUAUUGAGAGGAGCCUUCUUUAGUACGAGAGGACCGAGAAGGACAUACCUCUGGUGUACCAGUUAUCGUGCCAACGGUAAACGCUGGGUAGCCAUGUAUGGAGAGGAUAACCGCUGAAAGCAUCUAAGUGGGAAGCCCACCUCAAGAUAAGUAUUCCC